RNAcentral lists this transfer RNA (72 nucleotides) under Camelus bactrianus (Bactrian camel). It matches the Rfam family "tRNA". From Rfam's summary of the family: Transfer RNA (tRNA) molecules are approximately 80 nucleotides in length. Their secondary structure includes four short double-helical elements and three loops (D, anti-codon, and T loops). The record is from Rfam by way of RNAcentral. Lineage: Eukaryota; Metazoa; Chordata; Mammalia; Artiodactyla; Camelidae. RNAcentral also lists the same sequence under 2 other names.
GAGGGUAUAGCUUAGUGGUAGAGUGUGUGCCUCACAUGCACAAGGUCCUCAGUUCAAUCCCCAGCACCUCCA